Long non-coding RNA from Ruditapes philippinarum (Manila clam), 533 nucleotides. RefSeq lists it as uncharacterized. The transcript has 3 exons. The record is from RefSeq and is a predicted model, not a curated record. Lineage: Eukaryota; Metazoa; Mollusca; Bivalvia; Venerida; Veneridae.
AGUGAAUGUCACAUAUAUAUAUUUUAAUCUAACAUUCAUUGAUAUUAAACUUUAAAGUACACUGAAAUGUUAGUGUUGGAAAAUAGCAGCAGAAGUAUUUUCUUGAUUUUCUUGUUCCUAGAACAGUGUGUAUCAUCUAGUGUUUAAUAGCCGCCGAACAGUAAUAUUGAAAAUGAAAAGGGUGAACAUUGCAGGUCUAGACUACAUAACACGUUGUUUUGGGUAUAUGUAACUAUGGAUAAAUAAAUCAUUAAAACAUCCUCGGAAUAACUAACUGUAACCGUACGGUGCUAAAUUAUGUUUAAGGUUCAAUUGUUGUUUUGUGUGUUUUUUGUCUCCAUUGGAUUGAAUUUAGUUAUUUUCAAUACAAACUUUAAAGAAAACGAAGAGCAACUAAGUCAUGAAUGGAAAAAUGGCACAUUUAGGUCAAUAUCUCAAACGCUUAACAAACAGAAACAAUUUCGAAGCCAAAAUGCAAUUAUACCUGACAAAAACGUCGUGAAGUCCAGAAAUUGUGAGGAUGUCAAUACUUC